Molecule: long non-coding RNA, 2297 nt
Organism: Astyanax mexicanus (Mexican tetra)
Lineage: Eukaryota; Metazoa; Chordata; Actinopteri; Characiformes; Acestrorhamphidae
Exons: 2
Source: RefSeq, a predicted model, not a curated record
CCGGCAGUAAACGAGUCAGUUUCGCAUUACAAUGGGCAAUGGGGACUCCUUCGCAUGCCUUCACUAGCCCACAAAGAGCCGCUGGAGCAAAAAGCAUUUUUACAACAGUUGAGUUUACUGGGAAAUAAAUAGAAGAAAUCGAUUAAAACCCGAAAGUCAUGGACAACCGCUUAGUGAUAUAAGAUGUUUUAGAUGUGGAUUGUUCGCGGAUCCGUUUAGGAAAGUUAGGAAAAACGUCGCAGCCAGGAAAUAGAAGGAAAACCAGCAAAACGGAGAGCAGAAGUGAAAAACCGCGUGUGAAUCUCUUCAAAAAUCACGAGUUUCCCUAAAGAUACGGAGAAGUCCGAAGAAAGGAUGAGAAAAAGGAAAAGAAAACGCACUCACCAGACAUUUUGGCGUGAAGAAGAAGAUGAAGUUCAGGGAGGCAGCCAAAACGCCUGUUCUUGGCUCUGUUAAAUGGGCAAGAACGAAUUAUUCACAAAAGUAUCCAAAAGUCUCAAUAAAGAACUCUCCAAACACUCUCACCAUAUACAAUAAUAUAGUAAUAUAGCUGGGGAAGUAUUAGUUUGAGUUUUUCUGCCCUCAUCCCUACUAUUUAAAUGCCCAAGAAGUCCAUGAUUUGACAAUGAUUUGAUUGCGCGAUACUUUCAAUUUGAAUAUUCAAAGACUUCGCUAAAAUACUUAUAUCUUAGUGAAAUUCGCAUUUAGAAUGCAUACAACAACACUCACUAUAAUAUAAUAUCAUGCUAUUUCACACUUUGACCUAAAAACAAAAAUAUAUUUUAACAUUUUACCAUCCUUUUAAUAUUGCUGGAUAGAGUCUUCCUGUGAAGCUCUGUUUCCACUUUACACUGAAUUAUGACUGAAAUAAGACAUUUUACACCAUUUUUCACAUCAAGCAUUUAUUCCACAGUGGUAAGGAUACUUAAAAAGCACACUUAUGACGAUCUCAGGCCUAUUUUUAAUAUAUUUUUCUGAAAUAUAUGACUGGUGGGCGUGGCAUAUAGUAGCAGCCAUUUUGCCAGGAGAGCACUUGGAUGGAGCUCGAGCUCUGUUCCCAGGUGAUUCUGCCAUACACUGCCCAGUGUGAUAACCACACACAAAUCAAAUUAAAGACCAGCACAGAUGAAUAAUAAGCUUUAUUUCAGAUUUACAACAUAAUCUGAAUUUUUAAGCAGGUUUUGAUAAAAUACAUUUUUAACUCUUAUCCCCAGUCAUUUUCUGUCCAGUGUGGACCACAAGGGAUCAGGUGUAUUGUCGGAUGUUCCUUAAAAAAACUAAAAUUUAAUUAUAACCAUUCUUUAUAAAACAUGUAUCCGUUUAUAUAAGUCUAAAAAUAAUUUUAAAAAUUAAAGACAAAAAAAAAAAAAAAAAAACUGUAGCACUGAUGUACUCGAGCAACGUUUAAACUAAUGCCCUACAACUGGGUACAAAUUUCACUGUAAGAAAACAGACAAUGUAUUUCAUAAAAUAUAACAAUAAUGAUAACAAUGAACACAUAAAUAAAUGCUUCAGGUGUGGCUUUAGAUCAAAAUAAAAAUAAAAAAAUGGUCGCCGCUCCGUGAAAGGACUUAGAUAUUGUAUGUAUUCUUUAAAUACAUGAUUAAUAUGCAUAAUCUUAAUAAUCAUAUGUUGUGCGACUUUUCAAUUUAAUAUUUUGGUCUCAUUAAAAAGUUUGGGCAUUUCUGGUCAAAUUGCAGGUAUUUCUUAUUGUAUAGAUGCAAAUAAUUUCAACUUAUGCAUAUUUUAAUUAUAAUUGCUUUUUAGUAUAUCUACAUUUAACACAUUCAAUCUUUUACACAUAAUAUCAUAAAUAAUUUUCCAAUAUUUAAAAAUGCAUAAAUAAAAAAACAACUUGAUACAUUUUUUAUUUUAGAUGUAUAUUUUUAUUUAAAUGUAUAUAUUUAUAAGAUAAAACACAGAUCCCUAAGCAUUAUUUCCAUUAUUUCGUCGUUGUCAUUAAAAAACGUUGUUGUAUUUGACAAAAUAAUUAUAUACUGAUUUUCAUUGAAAUUUCAGGUUUUUCAUCCUUUAAAUAUUUUUUUUUGUUUUUAAUAUAUUUUACUCGUAUAUGUAAAACUACGCUAGUUUGCUAUAUGUAGAAAUAGAUGUAAGGUGUCUUCCCAUCUAAUUUUUAAGAAAACGCCUCCUUCAUCAUUCACGUUAGAGCUGAUCCACCAACAUGUUCUUGUUAGAUGGGCUUUUUAGAUGUUUUGUAAUGGAUUUUCCACAAUUGCUACCUUUAUAAUGAUGCACACAAUAAAAAUAUCUGAAUAAAUAAUCAUAUAAAAUAUGUA